GAAAACGACUGCUAAGACUGGAUAGGAGACAAGAAAGCAUCUUCUUGUUUUUAAAAGACCUAGCAAUAGGUAUGCUUAGGGAGGAGCUUGCGUCACAUUAGUUAGUUGGUGGGGUAAAGGCCUACCAAGACUAUGAUGCGUAGCCGGGCUGAGAGGUUGAACGGCCACAUUGGGACUGAGACACGGCCCAAACUCCUACGGGAGGCAGCAGUAGGGAAUUUUCGGCAAUGGAGGAAACUCUGACCGAGCAACGCCGCGUGAACGAUGAAGUAUUUCGGUACGUAAAGUUCUUUUAUUAGGGAAGAAUAAAUGAUGGAAAAAUCAUUCUGACGGUACCUAAUGAAUAAGCCCCGGCUAACUAUGUGCCAGCAGCCGCGGUAAUACAUAGGGGGCAAGCGUUAUCCGGAAUUAUUGGGCGUAAAGGGUGCGUAGGCGGUUAAAUAAGUUUAUGGUCUAAGUGCAAUGCUCAACAUUGUGAUGCUAUAAAAACUGUUUAGCUAGAGUAAGAUAGAGGCAAGUGGAAUUCCAUGUGUAGUGGUAAAAUGCGUAAAUAUAUGGAGGAACACCAGUAGCGAAGGCGGCUUGCUGGGUCUUUACUGACGCUGAGGCACGAAAGCGUGGGGAGCAAACAGGAUUAGAUACCCUGGUAGUCCACGCCGUAAACGAUGAGUACUAAACGUUGGAUAAAACCAGUGUUGAAGUUAACACAUUAAGUACUCCGCCUGAGUAGUACGUACGCAAGUAUGAAACUUAAAGGAAUUGACGGGACUCCGCACAAGCGGUGGAUCAUGUUGUUUAAUUCGAAGGUACCCGAAAAACCUCACCAGGUCUUGACAUGCUUCUGCAAAACUGUAGAAACACAGUGGAGGUUAUCAGUUGCACAGGUGGUGCAUGGUUGUCGUCAGCUCGUGUCGUGAGAUGUUGGGUUAAGUCCCGCAACGAGCGCAACCCUUAUUGUUAGUUACCAGCACGUAAUGGUGGGGACUUUAGCAAGACUGCCGGUGAUAAAUUGGAGGAAGGUGGGGACGACGUCAAAUCAUCAUGCCCCUUAUGACCUGGGCUACAAACGUGAUACAAUGGCUGUUACAAAGGGUAGCUGAAACGCAAGUUUUUGGCGAAUCUCAAAAAAACAGUCUCAGUUCGGAUUGAAGUCUGCAACUCGACUUCAUGAAGUUGGAAUCGCUAGUAAUCGCGAAUCAGCAUGUCGCGGUGAAUACGUUCUCGGGGUUUGUACACACCGCCCGUCAA
Molecule: ribosomal RNA, 1248 nt
Filed under: 'Humulus lupulus' phytoplasma
Lineage: Bacteria; Bacillati; Mycoplasmatota; Mollicutes; Acholeplasmatales; Acholeplasmataceae
Description: bacterial SSU rRNA
Rfam family: Bacterial small subunit ribosomal RNA
Source: RNAcentral